GACGAACGCUGGCGGCGUGCUUAACACAUGCAAGUCGAGCGGUAAGGCCCUUUCGGGGGUACACGAGCGGCGAACGGGUGAGUAACACGUGGGUGACCUGCCCUUAGCUCUGGGAUAAGCCUGGGAAACUGGGUCUAAUACCGGAUAUGACCUCAUGACUCAUGUUGUGGGGUGGAAAGCCUUGUGCGGCUAGGGAUGGGCCCGCGGCCUAUCAGCUUGUUGGUGGGGUAAUUGCCUACCAAGGCGACGACGGGUAGCCGGCCUGAGAGGGCGACCGGCCACACUGGGACUGAGACACGGCCCAGACUCCUACGGGAGGCAGCAGUGGGGAAUCUUGCGCAAUGGGCGAAAGCCUGACGCAGCGACGCCGCGUGAGGGAUGACGGCCUGGU
RNAcentral lists this ribosomal RNA (391 nucleotides) under uncultured bacterium. RNAcentral describes it as "bacterial SSU rRNA". It matches the Rfam family "Bacterial small subunit ribosomal RNA", at positions 28 to 420 of the family's 1533-position model. The record is from RNAcentral.